AACAAACGCUGGCGGCGUGUCUUAAGCAUGCAAGUUGAGCGGCAAGGAGGAGAGAUCCUCCCUAGAGCGGCGGACUGGUGAGUAACGCGUGGGUAAUCUAUCGUAGGCAUGGGGAUAGUCACUAGAAAUAGUGGGUAAUACCGAAUACGUUCCAUGAGGGGAGUAUUCAUGGAAGAAAGGGUGCUACGGCACUGGCCUUAGGUGAGCUCGCGUCCCAUUAGCUAGUUGGUGAGGUAAAGGCCCACCAAGGCGAUGAUGGGUAGCCGGCCUGAGAGGGUGUACGGCCACACUGGGACUGAGAUACGGCCCAGACUCCUACGGGAGGCAGCAGCUAAGAAUAUUCCGCAAUGGACGAAAGUCUGACGGAGCGACGCCGCGUGGAUGAAGAAGGCCGAAAGGUUGUAAAGUUCUUUGCUAGGGGAAAUAAGUGAGGAGGGAAUGCCCUCAUGAUGACAAGGACUAGCGAAUAAGCCCCGGCAACUACGUGCCAGCACGG
Molecule: ribosomal RNA, 496 nt
Filed under: uncultured bacterium
Lineage: Bacteria
Description: bacterial SSU rRNA
Rfam family: Bacterial small subunit ribosomal RNA
Source: RNAcentral